Molecule: long non-coding RNA, 803 nt
Organism: Capsella rubella
Lineage: Eukaryota; Viridiplantae; Streptophyta; Magnoliopsida; Brassicales; Brassicaceae
Exons: 6
Source: RefSeq, a predicted model, not a curated record
UUUUCAAUUCCGCAAAAUUAUCUGGAGAAGUUGAAGAACGGAGGAGAUUCUUUUUCCGGCAGUCUUGCUUUGGGCCACCGAUCUAGAAGAACCGUUCUCUCAAACGUACCAUCGACGAUUUAGGUUUUGGUAACGAUCGGUUUAGGUUUAGAAAUUGAAGAUCUGGUUUAGGUUCUAUGUGUAGAAUCUAUGUGUUACUGAAUCCCACCGUACAUUCAAGGAGAUAAUGGAGAAGAAAAAAAAUAUAGACUAGUACCACAUUCAGCUACAGAGAAACAUGAAUAUAUCAAGGAAUGAAGCUUUAGAACAAGAGUAGAGAAUUUUCAUCAAGUUUAGUUCAUAAUCAGACACAUGUUUGGAAAUUAUGUUACCUUGAUGCAUUCAAAGAAAUAAUCAGUCUCUUAGAGGAAGUAUGCUUCUUUUUCCCCUUAUCCUUACGUGAAACCAAAACCAAAGAAUCCUGCAAAGCCACAAACUCCUCCGACACCGCUGCCACCAGAUGGAAGACCGUGUGAUCCGGUUUAUAUAAAAGCGCUGCCUGGAGCAUGUCAUAAAUUAAAUGGAGAUCAAUUAUGCCAAGAGGUUUGCGGAGGACCUAAAUAUUUCAACGGUUAUCGAUUCUCAAAAUGUGCGGCAGAUAAAAAGUUCUGCGAAUGUCGCAAUUGUUUCUAAGUUCCUAAAUACUGCUUUCCGAACUUACUAAAAUAUUAAAGUGUUGGUUCAAUUAUCCAGAUUAACUAUUUAAUAAUCAAUGAUGGAACCGGUUGUUUAAUUACUUGUUAUAUUGAAAAUGUUGUCUCAAA